RNAcentral lists this ribosomal RNA (1372 nucleotides) under uncultured bacterium. Its description in RNAcentral is "bacterial SSU rRNA". It matches the Rfam family "Bacterial small subunit ribosomal RNA", at positions 28 to 1381 of the family's 1533-position model. The record is from RNAcentral.
GAUGAACGCUGGCGGCGUGCCUAAUACAUGCAAGUCGAGCGAACGGACGAGAAGCUUGCUUCUCUGAUGUUAGCGGCGGACGGGUGAGUAACACGUGGAUAACCUACCUAUAAGACUGGGAUAACUUCGGGAAACCGGAGCUAAUACCGGAUGAUAUUUUGAACCGCAUGGUUCAAAAGUGAAAGACGGUCUUGCUGUCACUUAUAGAUGGAUCCGCGCUGCAUUAGCUAGUUGGUAAGGUAACGGCUUACCAAGGCAACGAUGCAUAGCCGACCUGAGAGGGUGAUCGGCCACACUGGAACUGAGACACGGUCCAGACUCCUACGGGAGGCAGCAGUAGGGAAUCUUCCGCAAUGGGCGAAAGCCUGACGGAGCAACGCCGCGUGAGUGAUGAAGGUCUUCGGAUCGUAAAACUCUGUUAUUAGGGAAGAACAUAUGUGUAAGUAACUGUGCACAUCUUGACGGUACCUAAUCAGAAAGCCACGGCUAACUACGUGCCAGCAGCCGCGGUAAUACGUAGGUGGCAAGCGUUAUCCGGAAUUAUUGGGCGUAAAGCGCGCGUAGGCGGUUUUUUAAGUCUGAUGUGAAAGCCCACGGCUCAACCGUGGAGGGUCAUUGGAAACUGGAAAACUUGAGUGCAGAAGAGGAAAGUGGAAUUCCAUGUGUAGCGGUGAAAUGCGCAGAGAUAUGGAGGAACACCAGUGGCGAAGGCGACUUUCUGGUCCGUAACUGACGCUGAUGUGCGAAAGCGUGGGGAUCAAACAGGAUUAGAUACCCUGGUAGUCCACGCCGUAAACGAUGAGUGCUAAGUGUUAGGGGGUUUCCGCCCCUUAGUGCUGCAGCUAACGCAUUAAGCACUCCGCCUGGGGAGUACGACCGCAAGGUUGAAACUCAAAGGAAUUGACGGGGACCCGCACAAGCGGUGGAGCAUGUGGUUUAAUUCGAAGCAACGCGAAGAACCUUACCAAAUCUUGACAUCCUUUGACAACUCUAGAGAUAGAGCCUUCCCCUUCGGGGGACAAAGUGACAGGUGGUGCAUGGUUGUCGUCAGCUCGUGUCGUGAGAUGUUGGGUUAAGUCCCGCAACGAGCGCAACCCUUAAGCUUAGUUGCCAUCAUUAAGUUGGGCACUCUAAGUUGACUGCCGGUGACAAACCGGAGGAAGGUGGGGAUGACGUCAAAUCAUCAUGCCCCUUAUGAUUUGGGCUACACACGUGCUACAAUGGACAAUACAAAGGGCAGCGAAACCGCGAGGUCAAGCAAAUCCCAUAAAGUUGUUCUCAGUUCGGAUUGUAGUCUGCAACUCGACUACAUGAAGCUGGAAUCGCUAGUAAUCGUAGAUCAGCAUGCUGCGGUGAAUACGUUCCCGGGUCU